This 474-nucleotide ribosomal RNA is filed under the name uncultured bacterium. RNAcentral's name for it is "bacterial SSU rRNA". It matches the Rfam family "Bacterial small subunit ribosomal RNA", at positions 922 to 1397 of the family's 1533-position model. The record is from RNAcentral.
GGCGCCAGCAGUGGAGUAUGUGGUUUAAUUCGAAGCAACGCGAAGAACCUUACCAGGGCUUGACAUAUACAGGAAUACUUAAGAGAUUAAGUAGCUCUUCGGAGUCUGUAUACAGGUGGUGCAUGGUUGUCGUCAGCUCGUGCCGUGAGGUGUUGGGUUAAGUCCCGCAACGAGCGCAACCCCUGUUCUUAGUUGCCAGCAUGUAAAGAUGGGAACUCUAAGAAGACUGCCGUAGAUAAUACGGAGGAAGGUGGGGAUGACGUCAAAUCAUCAUGCCCUUUAUGUCCUGGGCUACACACGUACUACAAUGGAUGUUACAGAGGGAAGCUAAAUAGUGAUAUGGAGCGAAACCCAAAAAGCAUCCCCAGUUCGGAUUGUAGGCUGAAAUUCGCCUACAUGAAGCCGGAAUUGCUAGUAAUGGCAGGUCAGCAUACUGCCGUGAAUACGUUCCCGGGCCUUGUACACACCGCCCGU